AAUAAAAAAGAAAUAAAAAAUUUUAAUACAGUCGGGUCGAACUGACCCGAACCGUGCAAAAAAACCCGACCUGCGCAACAGCCAACACCCAGUAGCUUAGCAGGCCACAGCAGCAGCCCAGCGUAAGCCCAAUAAAGACAGCAGCCCAGCAGAAGGAAGAAAAAAAAGCAGAAAAAAACAAAUAGCAGGCCUGUAGCAGGCCCACUUUGCGCAGCCCAGUAGUGUAGACCCAACGGAGGCAGCCCACCGCCAGCAAUAGGCC
This 262-nucleotide long non-coding RNA is filed under the name Gossypium raimondii (Peruvian cotton). RNAcentral's name for it is "long non-coding RNA (GRAI_LNC003705)". Lineage: Eukaryota; Viridiplantae; Streptophyta; Magnoliopsida; Malvales; Malvaceae. The record is from RNAcentral.